AAACCCCUGCCGUGCUCGUGUUCGGUGGAAGUUUUUUUGAGCCAACAUUUAUGAAACGGGAACCUUCUCUUGCCUUGGUGUGCAUGUUCUGUGUUUGCAGAAAAGCCUAAAGAGGCAAUGAGGUGCCCACCUGUGCAAACAGGUUCAAGAGAUGCUGCCGACACGGCACCGUGGUGGGGGUUAC
This 184-nucleotide non-coding RNA is filed under the name Pseudomonadota bacterium. Its description in RNAcentral is "Proteobacteria bacterium (cold seep metagenome) 6S RNA". It matches the Rfam family "6S / SsrS RNA". Rfam says of the family: E. coli 6S RNA was the first non coding RNA to be sequenced, but its function was unknown until recently. Lineage: Bacteria; Pseudomonadati; Pseudomonadota. The record is from RNAcentral.